This 514-nucleotide ribosomal RNA is filed under the name uncultured Bacillus sp. RNAcentral's name for it is "bacterial SSU rRNA". It matches the Rfam family "Bacterial small subunit ribosomal RNA", at positions 9 to 504 of the family's 1533-position model. Lineage: Bacteria; Bacillati; Bacillota; Bacilli; Caryophanales; Bacillaceae. The record is from RNAcentral.
GAGUUUGAUCAUGGCUCAGGAUGAACGCUGGCGGCGUGCCUAAUACAUGCAAGUCGAGCGAACUGAUUAGAAGCUUGCUUCUAUGACGUUAGCGGCGGACGGGUGAGUAACACGUGGGCAACCUGCCUGUAAGACUGGGAUAACUUCGGGAAACCGAAGCUAAUACCGGAUAGGAUCUUCUCCUUCAUGGGAGAUGAUUGAAAGAUGGUUUCGGCUAUCACUUACAGAUGGGCCCGCGGUGCAUUAGCUAGUUGGUGAGGUAACGGCUCACCAAGGCAACGAUGCAUAGCCGACCUGAGAGGGUGAUCGGCCACACUGGGACUGAGACACGGCCCAGACUCCUACGGGAGGCAGCAGUAGGGAAUCUUCCGCAAUGGACGAAAGUCUGACGGAGCAACGCCGCGUGAGUGAUGAAGGCUUUCGGGUCGUAAAACUCUGUUGUUAGGGAAGAACAAGUACGAGAGUAACUGCUCGUACCUUGACGGUACCUAACCAGAAAGCCACGGCUAACUAC